Scophthalmus maximus (turbot) is the source of this 384-nucleotide long non-coding RNA. RefSeq lists it as uncharacterized. NCBI's taxonomy places the organism in Eukaryota, Metazoa, Chordata, Actinopteri, Pleuronectiformes, Scophthalmidae. The transcript is spliced from 3 exons. The record is from RefSeq and is a predicted model, not a curated record.
CUGCAACCCUGGACACACCUGACCGCAGGUUCUUCACCUGAAGACGACGGACAUUAUCAAUACUUAAGGGCAAACAACAGAAUUACAGCAUUAAUCAGCACAACAGGGAGAAACAUUUUAACCCUCUGACUAAAAAACCUGCCCUACUUGCUGAUCCAAACGCUGCAGACGCAUCCUGUUCCGGCCGAACCUAGUAUUCUUCACCCUAUCCUGCAUGUGCAUCGAUAAAAACCAACAAACAAACAAACAAAGGGGCUGGUGUCUCGCUGGUGAAGGCUGCUCUCCCUCUUGUUGGGCCAGGUGUUGGACAUAGACAGAGAGGGAUCACCGUGGCGACGGGACAUUGUUGGAGUUAGCAUGCCUCCUGGGAGUGUAGGCAGUGGG